AAGUCGUAACAAGGUUUCCGUAGGUGAACCUGCGGAAGGAUCAUUACAAAUUAUGGCGAACCUCGCGUUUCGCGAGGUCUUGCGUCCAUUUUUCAUAUUUAAAACAUCCCACUCUAAAAAUAUUUAUCUAAUGAUAAAAAUAAAAAAGAUCACUUUCAACAACGGAUCUCUUGGCUCUC
Molecule: unclassified non-coding RNA, 179 nt
Filed under: fungal sp.
Lineage: Eukaryota; Fungi
Description: partial internal transcribed spacer region
Rfam family: Eukaryotic small subunit ribosomal RNA (bases 1-46)
Source: RNAcentral